RNAcentral lists this ribosomal RNA (713 nucleotides) under archaeon enrichment culture clone AOM-Clone-H9. RNAcentral's name for it is "bacterial SSU rRNA". It matches the Rfam family "Archaeal small subunit ribosomal RNA", at positions 685 to 1402 of the family's 1478-position model. The record is from RNAcentral.
ACAGAUCCGACGGUAAGGGACGAAGCCCUGGGGCGCGAACGGGAUUAGAUACCCCGGUAGUCCAGGGUGUAAACGCUGCAGGCUUGGUGUUGGGGAUCCUACGAGGGUGCCCAGUGCCGUAGCGAAGGUGUUAAGCCUGCCGCUUGGGGAGUACGAUCGCAAGAUUGAAACUUAAAGGAAUUGGCGGGGGAGCACCGCAACGGGUGGAGCGUGCGGUUCAAUUGGAUUCAACGCCGGAAAACUCACCGGGAGCGACUGUUAUAUGAAGGCCAGUUUGAUGAGCUUGCCUGAUUUUCAGAGAGGUGGUGCAUGGCCGUCGUCAGUUCGUACCGUAAGGCGUUCUGUUAAGUCAGAUAACGAACGAGACCCUCACCCUUAUUUGCUAUCCAUCCCUCCGGGGGUGGAGCACUAUAAGGGGACCGCUGGUGCUAAAUCAGAGGAAGGAGAGGUCAACGGUAGGUCAGUAUGCCCCGAAUCUCCCGGGCUACACGCGCGCUACAAAGGACGGGACAAUGAGUUCCGACAUCGAAAGGUGAAGGUAAUCUCCGAAACCCAACCGUAGUUCGGAUUGAGGGCUGUAACUCGCCCUCAUGAAGCUGGAAUCCGUAGUAAUCGCGUUUCAACAUAGCGCGGUGAAUACGUCCCUGCUCCUUGCACACACCGCCCGUCAAACCAUGCGAGUGAGGUCUGGGUGAGGGCGUGUUAUGACACGU